RNAcentral lists this long non-coding RNA (16554 nucleotides) under Lynx pardinus (Iberian lynx). The record is from RNAcentral. Lineage: Eukaryota; Metazoa; Chordata; Mammalia; Carnivora; Felidae.
UGAGGUCUCACAGAGUUACUAGAUGAGAAGGUCAUUUUAAAAAUUACUUAGAGUUACUGCAGGGUUCUUGUAAAAAAUAAAUGGAAAAGAGGUGAUAGGAGGGAAAUCUAGGACUGGGUCACCUGGAAUCCCAGCAGGUUUGACAUAAGUGUGCACACAGUCUCUGAAUACUGCUGACAGGCACAAAGGCGGUCAGGGAGGCAUGGAUUCUUCUCCUGGCUCUGCCUGUAAGAUAUGUUGUAUUCACGGGAAGGUACCUGGACAACUUCUCAGGUAAGAAUGUUCUUUUGUUUCCCAGAUACAUUGUGGGGAUUGAGAGAUAGAGAAUAGUAAAAUGAUAAUACGGGUCUAAAUCACUCUUUUAAACAGCAUGAUGGGAGCAUACCUGUUUUGGGAUUCUAAUCAUGACUUAGAAAGUGCUGUGCUGCCUGGAUUUGGAAUUGGUUUCAGGGUGAAGAGAGUUUGAAGUUCACUAAAGAUAUCAAAAAUGAUAUAUAAUGGCUGGAAGUUGGCUAUGAAUGAUUUAGGUUCAAGUUAAAUAUUGCAGGAUGAGACUGAAGUCUAUGGCAUAUCAUAUUUCAUUCAAUUUGAGAUACUAUUCACUGUAAUAUGCACCAAUACUUUACGUACGAGCAAGAAAGAAAGCCCAUUGGCAAUUAUAAUUCCAAGACACUUUUGCUUGUGCUAUGUAUUUGGAUUUUUGAAAAUUAAAAUGUGAAAAUAUAUGCUUCUUAGAAACAAAAACUAAAAAAUAUAUGUUUGUACACACAUGUUUUUUCUUUAUACACACACACACACACGUUACUACUGAUCAUCUCAUGUUCACCAAAAGCUAAGUGAGUCCAAAACUAAAGUCAAUAUAUCUGCCCCUAACUUUGUUCUCUUCUCCUCCUUCUUUUUAUGCUGAAUGGCCCUGCUCUUUUCUCAGUAGCUUGACUCACUUCUCUCUCUCACUCCCCAUACCUCACUAGUCAUCAAGUUCUUUGGCUUCCUCUAUUCUCUUUGCUCUGUUUAUUUUUGCUCCUUUCCCCAUUAUCUGACUAACUUUACCUCACCUGUCAGACUCCACCUUUGAUGUUGAAAAACAUGCUGAAAUGUGCCAAGUCCAGAUUAGUAGGUCCCUCGAGCUCCCGCAUCUACUGAGCUCCUAUAUUUCUAUUCACAACCCUUAUCCCAAGUUGUACUCAAUUGCUUCCCUGUCUGUACCUACCACUAAACCACAAGUUCCUCGGCAACAAGGAAUGUCAGUCUGCUUCACAGUUGUGUUCCUAGAACCAAGAACGGUGCCUCAUGUGGAUCAAUUGUACAAAACUCAAUGAUGAAUCAAUUUUAGUUUAGAUUUUAAAAAAUAAAAGUGAUUUGGUUUUCAGAUAUUAUAAAGAGGAAUACAUGAAAAUAGCAUUCUCAAAUUGAAAGCGGUCCAAAGAAAAACAGCACAAUGUUGAGCAAAAGAGCAAUCAUUUAAGUCAAAUAAAAGCUAACUAAAUGCACUAAAUUUCUAAUACAUGUAAAGUGUUCAUUUUAUCCAUUUUUGCCUUCAUGCCAGACACAUACUGUAUAUCACAGUCAAGAAAGUUUUAUUUUAGCAGUUUAAUUGUGUUUCCUAACUCUCAGCUACCCUUUUCAUCUUUUGGGAAAAUGAUCAGUAACCUACAUUGAUUGUAUUUCUGCUUCUGUAGGACAAGAGGCUCUUAAUGGAACCUGUGAUGGCUUUGGGUCAGAGAAUGAAGAAUGCCAGUCUAUUUCUUUCCAAGAUUUUUUUUAAAGGAAAUAUAAAAGGUUAACUAUCUUUCUUGAAGAGCUUGCCUAAAAAUGAAGUUGAAGUCAUUAUCAAUGGACUACAUAAUUUUACUCUACAGACAUUCUUCUAUCAGAUGUAUGACAAUUAGAAAGUUUAUAAAGUAGAAAUCUCAAGGUGUCUAGAAUUUAAAUUUCUUUAAUUUUAUAUACUAACUCAGGAAUAUGGAGUAAAUCCAUUAAUUUAUGAGUAGCAGCUUCCUGUAAACACAGGUGAUAAUAUAUGACUUUUAUAUGUAUUAAAAGUAAAAGUAAAUGAGAUUUUAAAUUUUUAAAAAUUCUUUAGUUUGUCAGGUGAAGUUCAUGACACUUAAACAUGUAAAACAAAGGAAACAUAACAAAGUAAAACAAAGCCUAAUGUUACACCAGAAACACAAUAAAACUCUUUAUUUUAGUUAGAAAACAGAAUUCAGGGAUGCUUAGGGGGCUCAGUUGGUUAACCAUUGGACUCUUGAUUUCGGCUCAGGUCAUGAUCUCAUGAUUUUUGAGUUCAAGCUCUGUGUCAGGCUCUGCACUGACAGCGUGGAGUCUUUUUGGGAUUUUCUCUCUCCCUCUCUCUCUGACCUUCCCCAGUUCAUACUUUCUCUGUCUCAAAAUAAAUAGACAUUAAAAAUUUUUUAAAAGGAAAAAAGAAUUCAAAUUUCCCAGCUAUAUUUUGUAAUAUUUUGUAUAUUUUGUAUAUAUAAGGCAUUAUGUAAUGUAUAAUGUGACUUUUUUCAAAAUCAAGUGGGAUUUAUACCAGUAGUUCAUAGUGAUUUUUUUCCAAAACAAAUUAAGACCUAAAUGGCAUAUUGAAUAACCAAUACCUCUCAUGAGAGUCCCUUAAUGUAAGAUGCUGAAAAAUCGUAGAAUACAAUAGUGACAUAUACAGAAGGUAUGUCAGAAUAGGAAGUCUGCAUGAAAAAAUUCUGCAGAGAUAAUCAGCGGACACAAAUUUAUUGCUGCUUACUUGUAUAGUCACCUUGGUUUCUUCAUGCAGCAAGUUUUAUCCUCAGUGUUCUACUAAGACUGAAGAGAUAGAAUGGUAUGAAACAGUUAAAAGUUCUCCUUAAAAAAAAAAAAGUUCUUUUCUUCCUGAUUCAACAUGACAUUUUUUUUCUCAUUUGUAACAUGAUAGAUAUUUCUGUCCUUUGGGUAAAGUAUUUGAUUGAACAUUUAAGUUACUUUUUUAGAUCUUCAAUUUUCACUGAUUCAUCUCAAUAAUACCUUGGCUUUUUCACCUCUCACAGCUCCUAGCUUUAAUAUAUCCCAACAUUAUAGGUAACAAAAUCACAAAAAUCGCUUUGUGUACUGUAUUAUUGAGAACUAUAAAUGGUCUUAGAGAAUCCUUAGCUGAAAAUCAAAUUUUCUUUUAAUAUUAAAUCAUGAGUAUUUGCCAUGCUUUAAUUAAAUACUUCAGUUCCUCGUACAUGCUAAAUAUUGGAUGGACAUUGCUGGUUGACACAUUUAUGUGAGAUCAAUUUUUAAAUUAUUUUAAGAUUAAAGUCACACAUAGAUUUGAUUCCCUCUUUUUAUGAGAAUUCCAAAUUUCCAAUAAGAGUACUGGAUGAUGUAAACUCUUUAGUUUCCUAAAUUGUAUUCGUCAAUGAUUCUAAUAUCUGGGUGCCAUAACCAAUGCAUUCAUGAGUGAUUGAGUGGAGAUCAGGAUUUUACAGCUAAUCCCAUUUGUGCUUGUAGGUCUUGUACACUGAUAUAAGGAAGGAACCAUAACAACUUUCUAUGUUGAAAACUGUAGAUUCUUACUUGGGUAUGACCCCUCAGGUUCCUAAAAAAUUGUGUCAGCUUUGCCUAAAGAAAUAAAAAUUCAGGUUUGUCCAUACUAUGCUUAAAGAAUUGGAUUAAGAGUAGAAAAUGCAACUACUUUUUCUUUUUCCAAAUCACUUUUUAACAUAAGAAUAAUUUAUUUAUUAUGUUAAUUACUCACUUUGUCUCUCCUCUUUAAAAUGUAAAUUAUAAAAGUAGUGAAAUAAUUAUCUAUUUUGUUCAUGGUAUACCCAAGAACCUGAAAAACUACUAGUCUCAUGAUAAGCACCCAAUACAUUAAAAUAUAUAUAUAUAUAUAUAUAUAUAUAUAUAUAUAUAUAUAUAAAGAGAGAGACAGAGACAGAGAGAGAGAGAGAGAGCAGGGGAAGGGCAGAGAGAGAGAGAGGGAGAGAGAGAAUCCCAAGUAAGCUCUGUGCUUUCACCACAGAGUCCAAUGCAGAGAUCGAGCUCACAAACCUGAGCCAUGACCCGAGAUCAUGACCUGAGCCAAAAGCAUGUGUCGGACGCUUAACCAACUGAGGCACCCAGGUGCCCCAGCACCGAAUACAUUUUUUAAAUAUAUAAAUGAUCUUUAACUUAUUAAAAAUAAGCAUAAGUAUUAUUAGCUCAAUGCACAGAUAGAAUGAGAACACAAAAACUCCUUGAUCAAAUAUUUAUACCUACUAGGUAGCCUGAGCUAAAAUUUAAAUCCCAAUGUGUGUGACUCUUUAGUCUUUGCUUUCUACUAUACCACCCUUCUAUCUAAUAAGGAAGCACAAGAGAGAUCCUUUAUUGUCCGAAAGAAAGUCACUCAAACAAUAGAUCUUAUAUUUUGGAAUAAAAAAUUCCAUAGUAUAAUCUUUUCUUCUCUGCUUCAACUAUUUACAUUGUGAUUACAUUAGUAGUACAUAAGUUAAAGAAAGGAGAUUGUGGGGCGCCUGGGUGGCGCAGUCGGUUAAGCGUCCGACUUCAGCCAGGUCACGAUCUCGCGGUCCGUGAGUUCGAGCCCCGCGUCAGGCUCUGGGCUGAUGGCUCAGAGCCUGGAGCCUGUUUCCGAUUCUGUGUCUCCCUCUCUCUCUGCCCCUCCCCCGUUCAUGCUCUGUCUCUCUCUGUCCCAAAAAUAAAUAAACGUUGAAAAAAAAAAAUUUAAAAAAAAAAAAAAGAAAGGAGAUUGUGAUGAAACAUGGAAAAGAAUAGAUCAACUUGGCAAAAAAAAGGGAGGAUGGGACAGGAUGAAAAAAAUAUAAUGGAAGAAAAAGCCAGAGUGUUUAAUAGAAAUUGUUCCCCAAAACUGUAUAUGUUCUAAUUUUUGUAAGACUUGGGAUAGCUCCCACUCAUGAGCUGUCCAUAUAUUAUUUUUUCUUAUUAUUUCUGAGCUAUUACCAAUCUUCCAUUUUGUCAUGUGCCAGAAAAUGUAAAGAUACAAUUAAAUAGAGCUCGUUUGCUACUCUCCUCAGAAAAUAAUUGGAGGGAACAUUCUUUUUUUUUUUUUUUUUAAUUUUUUUUCAACGUUUAUUUAUUUUUGGGACAGAGAGAGACAGAGCAUGAACGGGGGAGGGGCAGAGAGAGAGGGAGACACAGAAUCGGAAACGGGCUCCAGGCUCUGAGCCAUCAGCCCAGAGCCUGACGCGGGGCUCGAACUCAUGGACCGCAAGAUCGUGACCUGGCUGAAGUCGGACGCUUAACCGACUGCGCCACCCAGGCGCCCCUGGAGGGAAAAUUCUAUUGGCUUAUGAAUGAGAACUGAAAUAAAUUGUACCUGGUUUAUAUGGUUUACCAAUAUUAAAAAGUAUUACAUAGAGAUGAUUUUCAUAAUAAAUAGAAUUUAUUUAGUCAUAAAAUGUUGUCAUUCCACACCACUUUAUUAUCUAGGUUUGCUUUCCACCAGCCCACGAACAAAGACUAUUUUUCAUAGUAAGAGCAUACAUAUGUCAGAAAAUAGACUGGCAUUUCAGUACUGGCUCUGUCAUGUUCUCAAUGUGUGGCCUCAAGAUGAUGCUGUAUGCUUUCUAAGGUUCUGUUUCCCCAGUUGUAAAGUGAGGUUAAUUUGUGUGUUUGCUUCAAAGAGAUACUGUGAAAAUCAAUAGGAGAUAAUAUUUUAAAAGUCGUUGGUAAACCCUUAAUAAAUGUUUUCAUUUUUCUUAUAUUGUGAUAUUGAUACACCUGCAUAUACUCUCUUUUUUCUCUCUCUCCCAUAAAUAUCACAGCAUAAGCUUAGGUCUUUAUAAAUAUAAGUUUGGGGACGCCUGGGUGGCUCAGUCAGUUGAACAUCCGACUCCUGAUUUCAGCUUAUGUCAUGAUGCCAGCCAGGGUCAUGAGAUCAAGCCCUGGAUUGGACUCUGCUGAGCAUGGAGCCUGUUUAAGAUUCUCUCUCCCUCACUUGUGCUCUCCUUCUCUCUCUAAAGAAAAAUAAAAUAUAUUAAUAAAUAAAUAUAAAUUUAACAUCAUUGUUGAUGGUGGUGGUCCUGUCGAUGUUGCUGGGUAUUUUUCCCAGAUAGUCAUAAAGUACUUGACAGAGUUAAAGGACUUUAAAAUGGACUUUACAAAAAGAAGCAGGAAAAAUAACUAGUGGACAAAUACUAGCUAGGGAAUUUCUUUAAAAGAGAGAUAUCUCAUUUUUAUGGCUCUCAUGAGUCAUCCUAAAUGGAUUACAUCCAGGCCGACAUUAAUUUGUAUGGUUCCUCUGCUGCACAGGGAAUAUAGCAGAUGGACUAUUAUUAUUCAUAUCCUUUACAAACAAUAACUGAUAAAUGCCAUUGGCAUUACAAGUUCUUUGGGAGUACGUAAGUUUAUAUAGUGUAAACUCAAAUAAAUCACUAGGGUUUCUAAGUAUUCAAAGUAUUACUGAGUAUUGGCCCAUAUUUCUCAUUGGUAUGGUAAAAGAAAAAAGAGACGGAUGUCAUUGAGAUAUAAGUUAGCCCCAUUCUAACUUUGGAUAAAAGAGAGCUUGUUAUUGAAAAUUUCAUUAUUUUCUUAUUGCUCAAUUCUUAAAACUUUUAUAUCAAGUCUGCUACUUUAAUUCAUAUUGAUCUCAAUUUAUUUCUCCAUUUAAUUUUCCACAACUAAUACUUUUCUUUAUUUCAAAUAAAUUUAGGUUUUUUAUAAAUACAAAAAAAUAUUCUUAGGUUCUUCUGCUAUGUAUCAUUGAUUACUAUAUUAAUAUAAACCUAUUUUUAUUUAAUUGAGUUGGUCUCCUUUGGUAAGUGUUCAGUAUCUAUCUCCUUGUAAUUAACAGUAUUUGGAGAGACCUUUGAGGUAAGAAUUCAAAUCUUCUUUAGAGACCCAGCUACAAAGAGAGGACUCCACCCGGAUUUUUGAGUGGCAGAAGGAGAGCACCCACCGGUGAGCAGCGUUCACCAGUGAACGUUAUGUGGAGGUACCAAGCAAUGGAAGGAUGUUAGCGGACUAAAUAAAAGGUAUUGACCAUAUCUUCCAGGAAAAAAGGGCUGGCUAUGAGAAAUGAAUUAUGAAGACUUAUUUGUGAAAAGUUAGUUAUCCAAAGAUAAGAUUCAAGAAGCUUAAGCCAGGGCAAAAAGUUUAACUCUGAAGAGUUAGUUUUUCAGAUAAGAGCCAUCUUGAAAAAAAUAAAAUAAUUAUUAUUGUCAUUCUCUCUUCAGAACUUAAAAUGUCACUACUAGGUUAACCUAUGGAAAAAUGAAGUGUGCUUUGUUUCCACGGAAUAUUUAAAUCAUCUGGUAACGUAUGCAACAGAAUCAAGUCUCCAUUCUUCUGGAGUCUUGUCUCCAGGGAAAUCAGCAGGAAGUGCUAUGUAUUUGUUCUUGUUUAUGGUGUCUUUAGCAAUUAAUUUUAAGUUUCAUUAAAAAAUUAAUUGUUAUAUGUAGAAUCUUGUCACUUAUUGACUAUCUAAAAAUUUUAUUAUUAACUAAAUUUUGAGGUAAAAUUCUUUUUUUUAAUGUUUACUUACUUUGAGAGACAGAGAGACAGUGAAUAGAGGAGGGGCAGAGAGAGAGACAGAGAGAGAGAGACAGAGAGAGAGAGAGAGAGAGAGAGAGAGAGAGAGAAACUCCCAAGCAGGUUCCAUGCUGUCAGCACAGGGCCUGAGUUGGAGUUCGAGCUCAUGAGCCUUAAAAUCAUGACCUCAGCUGAGAUCAAGAGUUGGGAGUCUCAAUCGACUGAGCUACACAGAUGUUACUAGCUAUUAUAAGUUAGAUUCUGGGGCGCCCGGGUGGCUCAGUUAACUGUCGGACUUCCGCUCAAGUCCUGAUCUCGUGGUCUGUAAGUUUGGCCCCGCAUCAGGCUCUGUGCUGACAGCUCAGAGCCUGGAGCCUGUUUCAGAUUCUGUGUCUCCCUCUCUCUCUGACCCUCCCCUGUUCAUGCUCUGUCUCAAAAGUAAAUAAACGUUAAAAAAAAGUAACAAAAAAUAAGUUAGGUUCUCUUGUUUUAUUUCAGGUAUUAUCAUUUUUUAAAAAUUCCUGAGUGAUACUAAAAGUGUAUUAAAGCAAAAAAAGUAGUAGGAUCUAUAAGGACUAUUUCCAUCUUGUUCUUCUGCUUUCCAUAGUCAAUUGCUAAUAAAUGUACUUUUAUUUAAUUAAAAGAGUGGCAGUUCAAUUAAUGUCGAGUCUAUUUUAAUAUGGAGAAAUGGUUAAAAAUAAUUUAGGAAAGAGUCUACAAAUUACUUGUGAUUAAGCCAAGAAUAGCACCGAGGCCUUUGGAUCCAUGGCUGUAUAAUCUGAUGCCCACGUCUAAUUUGUCUUACAUGUCACACUUUGUUUAAAUCACUUGUGCUAGUCAGGUGAGAGAGAGGUAUUCUGAGUUCUAAUUCAACUUUAUUGCUGAAUCAGCUGUUUCUUCAACGUUCUUCCUUAGGUAGAAGGAAUGCGUAUUUUCUGAUCACUGAGUCCGCAGAUGAGGCAUUAAGUUAGCAACUGAUGUAGAAAUUGCAUUUAAUUUUUUAAUAAAAAAUCAUCAAAUAUUUAGUGAAAACAUUAAAUGUGUAAAGUUAAAAAAUAAUAAAAUUAGGCUUUGCCUUAAUAAAGAGUAGUUUUAUACUGAGUCAUCCGGGUGGCUCUGUCAGUUGAGUGUCUGACUCUUGAUUUUGGCUCAGGUCAUGAUCCCAGAGUACAGUGCGAUUGAGCCCCACACCAGGCUCCUCGUGGAGCAUCAAGUCUGCUUCGGGUUCUCUCUACCUGUUCUUUUGGCCCUCCUCUGUUCGCAGGCACAUGCAUGCUCUCUCUCUCUCUCUCUCUCUCUCUCAAAAAAAGUAGUUUGGUACCAUUUACCUUUUGAGAGAACAGUGCAGGUAUUCCAACCUAGUCUCACGUCAUUGCUGCUUAACCUGGUAGCUUAUGUUCCAAUGGCAUCAUGGUGAAGGCUAUUCUCAGAGUGCAGCCUUAAAAAUAGUUUUGUGGGUUGAGGAGUGGGAGGGAGGAUCACACUGUUAUUACAACGCAGUCUGAAUCUGUGCUCCAAGGACAUGAGGUUGUUCUAAACCUGUGGUGGAAAAACCUGUGUGUUUUCCACAACAGAUGGGGAGUAGGAGGGGAAUAUUUUUUUCCUCGUGUGCUCCCUAUAACUAAUAUUGUUUAGAUGUGUGUAACAAACAAGCGCUUGAAGUGAAGUGGCAUCGUACCACCCACAUGAAUGAUUGAGGGUGAGGGUCGAUGCCAAGUCUGUUUUCUCUGCUGCUAUUUUAGUUGAGUGAGAAAGUGUUAUGUCACCACUGCAGGGCAAUACGCUUCAGGUAAGUUCUCUGCUUGCAGAGAUGAAGUUCAAUUUGAAUAGAGAGUACAAACAAGGUUACAGAGUUUCUAACUCCAGAGCUUGUGGCAACCCCUCUAAGAGUAAGACAAGAGUCUGUAUCCACACACAAGAAAGUAGGGAAUGUCUUUUAAAGAAGUUACUAGCAUUCAUCAUAUGUCUCCAUAUUAGCGGUAAUAUUUGGGAUGCAAGCUCUGUUUCUGCUGCCUAGUUCACUGCACUCUAUAAUUAGAGCUUCUCAUUGUUAGAGCGGUAACGCGGGAUUCAAAUAAACAACCUAGGAUUUUGACAUUUGUGGAAAAUAGUACUGAGAAAGCAUUACAAGAAAAUGAAUAUUAAAUAGCUAUAAGUGCAGUAUGAUCAACUUAGUCACCUACUGAAGAAAGUGAAUAAUUGCAUUUGUAAAAGCAAAUUACGAAGUGUGUGUGUGGGGGGGGGGACAGCCAGUUAAAAUACAGAUAAAUCACUUUUUAUCCCAUUGUUGCAGCACUCAGCUUUGGGACCUGAUCGUUUCAGAAAUUGUGGUGUCUCCUGAGAAGAAUUUCUUGCCAAGAGAGGGGUUAGCAUGCUAAAGCAGACAGUGUUUUGGAUUACUCUACAUAUCUUCACUAUAAAUAGGAUACUUUCGAAAUGCUGUUUUGAGCUAUUCAAGUGAGCUAGUGAUCAAAUGUGGCAGACUUCACAAUAAUGACGGACUGACAUAUGAAUAGGGGAAAGCCUCAUCAUUUCAGAUGGACAAGGCUUGAUGAAUUCAAAUGAUAACCUAUAAUCUUUAAUUUAAACUAGCUACCUAGCUGAUAAAGGUAAUGAUUUAUCAUGUGGCUUACUCAUUUACUGUUAAUCAACAGGAUUCACAUCUUUGAAAUCCCUAGCAUUCAGGAGCCUGUAAGAGGAUUCAUGCACGUGUUCUACUUUAUGCUACUGAUUUGCAAAACAAUGAGGCUGGUAAUGAUGUGAAAGAUUUAACUGGCUCUCCUUGUGUCUCCUCCAUCUGAACUGAUUGUUAUUUGUAAAGAGAAAUCUUCCGAAGCCUGUGGUUCCCACAGGAGGCUGAGCAGCCAGCCACUGGGUUGAGGAUGACAUCCUGUGUCAGGGAUCAGAAAUCAGCCAGUUAAUAGCUUUGCACUUAAAAUUGUCUAAUAUUUUUUCUUGUUAAAGGCCAAUUUUCUAACAUAUAAAGUCAUUUUCACAUCCUUGAUAUAUUGUAGACUGCAAGAUUCUUUGAAAAUAGCAGCGCUACUUUAAAUGAUUUCUUUCUAAAGCACAAUACCUUGCUAAAUAUUUUAUGCAUCAAAUCAUUUUAUAAUUUAGAUUUAUGUAAUCCAGACCCAAGAAACAAAACAAUUCUUGCCAGUAUUUAUAUUAGAGAUUGAGAUUGUGCUGUUAUUUUACAAAUGGUAUGUUGUAACAAGAUUUUGCUUUAGUAAAAUCAGGGCGAACCAAUUUUUUCUCCCAUUGUCAAAAGGCUAAUUUGUGCUGUUUCCAGUGAACACAAGUUAUUUUAAUUAGUUCAAGAAACAGUCAAUGUAGUCAUCAUUUUCAUUUUUUCUGGUUACAUAUAAGAACAUUUAAAUUAAAUCUCAAGUAUUAAGACAUGAAAAAAUAUUAUAAGUAGAUGUCCCCACACAAGUUUUGAGAAUUAAAAUUAUUUUAUCUAAUUAAAGAAAAACAAAUACAUUUCUGGCAAAAUAAAAAAAUUCAGGGGAAGGAUUUAAAAACAACAGGGACACAGUUCAGAAAAUGUUACUUUAUUUGUGCCCCUACAUACACACGCGCACACACACACUCAGAAACAUUCUCUUCCUUUCAAAAAUAUUUAGCUAAAAGUUGUUCCAGUGAUUAUAUACUUUGAAAGAGGAAGGACGGAAGGAGAGGAAGGAAAGUAGGAAGGACGGAGGGGAGGUAAAAAGAAAAAGAAAAAUAGCUGGAAAAUAAUGACAGCUUCCUAUUCCAAAAUUCAAAGUAGUAUCUCUUCACUUUCUAGCCAGAGAUGGGUCUUUUAUAAAGCAUGACUAAAACACUCUGUUCAUUAGUCGUUUAUCAAAACCUAGAACCAUUAAGGAAAAACAAACACAAAAAAUUUACAUCUGCCACUUUCUCCUCUUUCUCAUCUCUUCUUCCUCCCUUCCUACACAGCUUCUGUGUUUGUGUUUCAGUUUCAUAAUCCCUCCAUUGUGAAUUGAGAACAUGUUGUUGGCAGGUCUCCUCACUUACAGGGUGCAAGAUACAUUGGCCUCAGUGACACUGAGUCAGAACCUGCUCGGUUGCUACGAUUGCUAGUAAAUACCAUCACUCUCGAAGCAAGCAAGAGUGAAAACCAGAAACAACAGCAGGUGCUGUAUCUGUUGGAAGGGAACAGAGUUAAGAAGUGUCGAUGACUCAGUGACAGUUCUAUUGAUCUGUUUUUUUUUUUUUUUUCCUUUUGGUGAGGAUAUGAUGCAAAAUAGAUGCCUCCGCAGUGGGGGCCUUAUGGCAAUGAGAUUUACACACUGCUAUUAUUUUUAGCUUGUUUUGUGAAAUGUGAUGCUACAAUUACUAAUAAUGUUACAGAAUUCAUUUAUAGUCUGUUAGCUGAGAGCCCAGUAGAUACCACCUGAUUAAAUGUGGAAGCCAGGCCUUGCAAAUAUUUUCCAAUUUAGCUUCUAGUGCAUUUUGCAAAUAACUUGAGCAAAUUUUUUUUGCAAUUUUUUUCAAAUAUGGUUAUAUCUAUUCCAACAAAACAUGUUCUAUUCUCUCCAGGUAAAUGUCUGUGACUAUGCCAACUAAAUGCCUAAAAAAUGUAACUAGCUUUUACUUUGAGGUGAUCAUAGUAUUCCAUUGUAAUGAUUCUUAAUCUAAAAAAUAAAUUUUAAUAGCAAAAUCUUGGUCCUUUCUCUCAGGGAUUUUUUUUUUCUCACUUGACUGCUUAUUUCUCUUAAAGGAAACAACUGAACCAAAAAAAAACCUCAUAGUAAUAGUAAUUUCCCCAAUAAUAACCACCUUGAUCAAGAAGGCAAUUUUUUGCAAAUUUAACAAAGCCAACAUAUUUCAUUAAUAAGAAAAAGAAGUCUCUUUUAAGGACUCACAUUUCUUAAAAAGUAAGCUGUUUUUAUAAUUUUGACAAACUCCAUAACUUCUUUUGCUGAGCUCUGUCGUAUUUUCUGAGCUUUGUCUCUGCCUCUUCUGUGGUUCUCACCAUUGUCUGACCAAAUGAGUAGGUGACUAACUAGAAAAUCAUCAAUGUACACUUCACCAAGGCUAUUGCUUUGUGUUUCCCAUUGCAUUAGCAAAGUUUUGCCAUGAUAUUGGACAGAUAAAGACAUUUGGAAAGAGAAAAGGGUGUAUAUUCUUGGAAAUACUUCCAUUUUAUGCAUGUCUCCCAAAAAGAUACUUUAAAAAGCCAUUUCAAAUUUCCAUUACGGUGAAUUAAAUUCACACUGUCAACAGAUAUUUGUCAAACAACUACUAGAUUCACAGUGCUCUAUCAUAUCACCAGGGAUAAAAGGAUUACAAUUUAUUUACGCUUAAAAAAGUAUUCAGUGUAGUUCAGGAAACAUCAUAUAAGCAGCCUAGAGGAAGAACUCACAUGUCUAGAGCCCUUCACCUGACUUAGGCACACUAUUCUAGGUGUUGUAUAUAUGUUAUAUAUACAACAAUCCUAUGAAUUCACACUUAAUGGCUCCAUUUUCAGGAUGAAGAGCUUGGGGUUCAGAUAGCAAAAUUUAGUUCCUUCAGACCAGAGCUAAUAAGGAAGGGUAGUGAGAAUCAAAUCUGUGUGUUACUGAGGCAGACAUCAGGAUUCUCCUAUAGGCAAAUUGCCUUGGAGGUUUUGAGAAGUUAUGUUUGGCCUGGAAGAUUAAGGAUGGCUUUAACAGGACCUUGACAUAUAAAUCGUAAUGGAUAGGUAAUCAUAGCCAAGGCAAAAAGGCAGCAUUGCCAACCAGGAAAGAGAAAUGUGUGCUUAGGGAUAAAUUCUUCUUAAGUAGAACUAAUAGGUAAAUUUAGAUGGAUAGAUAGAUAUACAUAGAUGAGACAAUCUUAAAAAUGCAGAUUCAAAGCAAGGGAAUCAUGGAAUGCCUUAAAAGGUCAUAUUGCAUAUUACAAAAAGAUUCAGAAAAAAAAGAAAUAUAUAUUUUAACAUACAGAUUAUAUAAUAAAAUCUCUAACUCAUUUUUUCUUUAAUAAGUAUGCUCUGGGCAUUUUUUCCACAGAAAUCAUUCAGAAAUCAUUCACACAUUUUAUGGAUGAAUUUAUUUAACCUAUAAGCCUGUUUUAGCUAUUUGGUCUGUUCCAUUUUCCAUCUCUUUAUCAUUAAAAGCUAUGCUAAAAUCAAUAUCUAUAAUCAUAUGCUCUUUUUUUUUUUUUUAAAGAAAGCAAGCUCUACCCCCAGCAUGGGCCUUGACCUCACAACCCUGAGAUCAAUAGUCACAUGCUCUACUAACUGAGCCAGCCAGGCACCCCAAUAAUUAUGUAUUUUUAUAUAUCUUCAAUUAUUUCAUGAUAAAUUUUUAAAUUUGGAUGGCCAGGAAAAUACUAAACAUUCAAAUAAAGGGGUUUUAAUAUGUUUUAUCAAGUUAUUUGGUAGAAAGUUUCUGCUAAUUUAUAUUCCUACUUUGCCAAAUUAAUCUUCCCUAAGAAUCACUUUGAAUACCUCACUUACAUAAGUUUUGAAAAACGUUCCCUCUUUUUCUAACCUCAGUUGCUAAGAUGACUUCCAUACUCUCAGCUCCACAUGUUGAAUGCUAACAUAGCACUCUGCUCUUCGUAUCUAUUUUUCAGAUUUCUUUCAUUCAAGGGCCAGAUUUGAUUUUUCAUGAAAUCCAGACAACACAAAUUUUCCUGAUUGAUUGAUUGAUUGAUUGAUUGAUUUACUGGCUUGCUCACUCAUCCAUCCAUUCAUUUAUUCAACAAAAUUUUUGAGGAUCUAAUGUGUAUUGGAAUUACAUAUACACUCGCUGGAUUUAACACUUACACUAUACUUUGGUCAUUUUUAUUGGAAAGAUUAUGUAAAGUUUAUCCAGAGGGCUUUUUAAAGAUGCAAGUUCUAAUGUCUUUCAUAGCUUUUUUUUUUUUCAUUUUACCUCUCACACUUUAUCUAUGUGUGUAUUUGACAAAAAUAUUGAAUUUGCAUUGCAAAAACAAUCAUGUGUUUGAGAUUUUUUAUUUAAUAUUUUAAUUCAACAGUUGAUUUCCACUCAUACUGCAAUUUAUCUUUUACUAAAUGUUAAAUCUUUACUUUCCAGUUUUAAUCUCUUAAUAGUGAAUAGAAUAAAAUAGAUUUGAAUACAGUAUGAAAAGAGAAAGAAAUGAAUUGAUGUGAAUACAUAUAUUAGCUCUCUGUCUUUUUUCUCCCUUUCAAACUGAAAAUAUAUGUAUACAUGUGGGUAGGAGUUACACUAUAAAUGACCUAGUAAUAUUGGGGAUAACGUGAGUCAAAAUAUGAAAAAUAAAAAUUAUGUACUUUCAGAGACAGAAUGAUCUAGGAUUAAGUAAGAAGUAACAUACGGCUUUCUUUUGUGUUUUGCCUGCUUACAUUCUAAAAAAGAGUGAUUCAGUUCUCAUAUAUUUUAGAAAAAUAAUAUUCUAGUCAGCUAGCAUGGCCGACUCUGAGUUUUGCAUUUCCAAGGGUUACAUGGAGGGGUUGCCCACACCUGCCCCCCCCUCACCCCGAUCCACAGCACUACCAGCUACAGACAGGAAGAGGAAUUAAAAGGCUAUGUUCCGAGGCCAGAGUGUUAGAGAAGGUAAGAAUCUCAAACAUAACAAAAAUGUAAAGACAUUCAGUUGGUGAAAAUUAUUCUACAAGACUUCUGUUUAAUGAUUUCUUGGGACCACACAUCUUCACACAAUGUCAAACAGUCAAAGAGGUGUUUUCAUGCAUUUGAGGGAGAAACUAACUAAAUCUCUCCCUGAAUCCCCACAACACUACUUGUCCAGUUUAGAACCACGAUCUUCCUGGCCUCCUCCACUACUAGACCCAACUCCAGUCUGAUGAGGGCUUUUGCAGGUGGCAUUGCCCCUGACCCAGAGGCCCUUCAACAGCUGCCUCGCUCCUUUGGAGCUGCAUCAGGGUUCAGGUUUAAUCUGGAGGUGAAACAGUCACUAUCGUACAUCCAUGGCUAUGGCACAUCGGUAAACAAAGAACAUUUUGAUGGCAGGCCCUGUACUCGCAUGACAAUCUGUAGAGGUCCAUGCUCGGGUCUCUAGGAACACCAUCUGAUGCAGAGCUGCAGUCCACAGCUAGCACGGCAUAGCCAACUACUCACUUGUAAGGAUGUGGGUAAUUCCUGAUAAGUGUCCAAUCGUCAUCUUGAAAUAGGGGACAUUUGGAGCUGCACAGGCUCCUAUAGUAAAUGAUUAAUGUGUAUUUUUCUGAUCCUGACAGAUUCCAAAAGAAGAGCAGAUUGCUACCCAUAAAACUAAGCAACGUCAACGUGGAAUUACUGGAAGAAUCCGAAAGUCUUUGCAGAAAUGCUGUGCUUACUCCAAUGUUUCUCAAAAACCAGCUAUUUUAAAGGGACCAGGGUCAAUAUAAAUGAAAUAAAUGGAGGCUAAGAUAAAAUAUGUCAGAAAAUUUGCCGAAAGGUUAUUUUAAGGUGGCAUGUUAAAAACAAUAAUGGGCCAUUAGGCUGUCUUGUUAAAGGCAUUAAAGUCACAGGCACAAUGUAUGAGUCACAUGGGCAAGAUUUUCCACUUUAUAUAUAAAAACUUCAAUAUUGAAUUUCUGGUAAAAGUAAAAUGUUGCCAUUUCUGUGUAUAUUAUUAUAAGUAUUCAAAUUAAAUUGUAGGCAGAGGAGUAAGCAAAGUAGUAAUGUCUCUAGAAAUGUGUUAUCAAAAUUCUAGACAUUAUAAUUGACAUUACAAUACAGACUUUAAUGUAAUUUUUCUUUAUAAUUAAGUAGGCAUUGAAAAAAUCUUUUGGCUGAUCGUUGUGCAUGCAGGCAUACUGCUUUUUACAAGCAAGCAUCCCGUCGUCAAAGGCAUUUGUAAUUAAUUUACUUUUAAAACAAAAUUUGAGCAUCUCCAAAGACUAAGAUAAGGGACUAGAUAAUUUAAUGUUGUAUAAGAAAUGGUUACCUCACCUUUUAAUGUAGAAUUGGAGACAGAUGCUUGAUAUAUGAGGUAUACGCCCUAUAAGGAUGGCUUCGUCUAUUUUGUGCAUUGCUGAAUCUCCAGAACCCACAACAAAAUGUACCACAUAUAAGAAACUCAAGCAGAGUUUGCUAAAAGAAGGAAUUAUUAACAAAUUCUUAUUGUUUACAAAAUUACUUCAAUGAUAAAUUCUUACAACCCUUUUCUGACUAUUAUGCAUGAUUU